This 235-nucleotide long non-coding RNA is filed under the name Mytilus galloprovincialis (Mediterranean mussel). The record is from RNAcentral. Lineage: Eukaryota; Metazoa; Mollusca; Bivalvia; Mytilida; Mytilidae.
GAUUAUAAAGUGCAUUUUGAGAUUGUUGCACAAUUAAAUGGGUGGUCUAGUGAAAUUAAAGCUUUAAAAUUAAUUUCUUGUAUGCAAAAUGAAGCACUUGCAGCAAUUGGUGAUAUAAAUACAAAUUGUCCACCAUCUUAUAGUGAGCUUAUCAAUACUUUAACUAGAAGGUUUGCACCAGAAAACCAGACUGAGCUGUAUAAAACUCAAAUUGACACAAGAAUUAGGAAAAGGG